GCGUCCUUUUGUGGAUCUUUAAAUUCUCGGAGCGCGCGAAGACCUUGCCACAGCCAGGGAAGGGGCAGGGAAAGGGCUUCUCGCCCGUGUGCACGCGGAUGUGGUUAACCAGUUUGUAUUUGGCUUUGAAGGGCUUGCCCUCGCGCGGACACUCCUCCCAGAAGCAGAUGUGAUUACUCUGCUCCGGGCCACCUACGUGCUCCACGGUGACGUGCGUAACUAGCUCGUGCAUGGUGCUGAAAGUUUUGUUGCACGACUUUUUGGGGUUGGCCAGCUGCUCGGGCUCGAUCCACUUGCAGAUGAGCUCUUGCUUGAUGGGUUGGCGCAUGUAGCGGAAGAAGGCGCCGGCGCCGUGAUGCGCGGCCAUGUUCACGUUCAUGGGCCCGUAGCCGUGCAGCUGCGGCGCAGCAUAGUGCUCCGAACGCGGGCUGGUCACCUGGCCGUACUGCUCCGGUCGCGGGUACAUGUCCCCCGAGAAGCCGAGCCUCAUCUGCCCGUUGACCACGUUAGGCGACGCGUGGCCGGCAGCCUGCUCGUGAAGCCCGGGGAAGAGGAGGUGGCCCGCGGCGUCCGUGUGGCCGUGUGGGCCCCCGAAGCCCCCGGCCGAUGCAGCAAAGAGGCUGUGCUGUGCGCUGGCUGCCGCCGCCGCGUCGCCAAAACCCCGGUUGCGGAACAGAAAGUCCCGCGUGGAGUUGAAGGCUGCGCUGGAAUAGGAGCCGACGUGGCCCGGGUGAUGGUGAUGGCCCAGGGCCGCAGCAGCCGCGUAGCCUGGCGCCUGCGACGUGAAGGCCGUCUGGCCGGCCGAAGCCAGCUCGUGCGAACUGGGGUUGAGCUUGAAGGCGCCCAUGCCGUCGGCGAACGGGUUGAUGCCCAGGCCCACGUCUCGUUCGGCCACGUCGCCCGCGGAGUGGUGGCGGGACGCGCCAAAGGUGGUCACGCCGAUCGCUGGGUACUGGGGGCCGGCGUCCAGGAGCAUCGUGGCUGCUCGGGGCGAGCCCCGGCCUCCCCCGCCCCCCCCACCCUCGCCAGCCGAGGAGGGAAAAUCGGGAGGAGGAGGAGGAACAAGAGGAGGAGGAAGAGGAAUGUGAGCGCCAGUGCCGCGACUGCUUCGCCCUCUCUCCGCCUCGCGCAGCGCGCCCCUCCUUACUUCUCCACUAGCCCCUCGCC
RNAcentral lists this long non-coding RNA (1167 nucleotides) under Homo sapiens (human). RNAcentral describes it as "non-protein coding lnc-ZIC4-4:1". The record is from RNAcentral. Lineage: Eukaryota; Metazoa; Chordata; Mammalia; Primates; Hominidae.